Nycticebus coucang (slow loris) is the source of this 1141-nucleotide long non-coding RNA. RefSeq lists it as uncharacterized. Lineage: Eukaryota; Metazoa; Chordata; Mammalia; Primates; Lorisidae. The transcript is spliced from 3 exons. The record is from RefSeq and is a predicted model, not a curated record.
CCAGCCCCCGGGUCGGCCCACCGCAGUCCUGCCCAGCGUCCAACUGCAAGAGACAGAGUCUCACUGUACCGCCCUCGAGUAGAGUGCCGUGGCAUCAUACGGCUCACAGCAACCUCUAACUCCUGGGCUUACGCGAUUCUCUUGCCUCAGCCUCCGGAGCAGCUGGGACUACAGAGAGACAGAGUCUCACUUUACCGCCCUGGAUAGAGUGCCAUGAUGUCACAGGACUCACAGCAACCUCCAGCUCCUGGGCCUACAUGAUUCGCCUACCUCAGCCUCCUGAGCAGCUGGGACUACAGGCGCCCGCCACAGUGCCCGGCUAUUUUUUCAUUGCAGUUUGGCUGGGGCUGGGUUUGAACCCGCCACCCUCGGUAUAUGGGGCCGGUGCCCUACUCCUGGGUUAUGGGGCUUCCCCCUCAGAGCCCCACAAGCCUGUUCUCUUCUGUGUCCCCAGCAUCAUGUGCACAUGAUGGAAUAAAUGAAUGAUGAAUGGAGGAUAGAUGGAGGAGGGGUAGAUGUAUGUAUGGAUAAGCCGAUGGAUGGAGGGGUGGGUGGAUGGAUAGAUGGGUAAGUGGAUGGAUGGAUAGAUAAAUGUUAUGUAUGGAUGAUAGGAUGGACAAUGGAAAGUGGAUGGAUGGAUGGAUGGAUGGAUGGAUAAGUGUAUUCGUGGAUGGGUGGGUGGAUGAAUGAUGUAUCAAAGAGCCAUGAGACCACAAAAAAGAAACUAUAGGACUAUGGAAUGAGACUCAUAACAUCAUGUUGAUGGAGCCAUGGAACUGUGUAGUCCUAGGACCAUGGGACCACAGAAUUAGAGAUCCACAAAACACAGUCAACAGAAACACAGAACCAUAGGGUGGUGGAAACCAAAGGACCCUGUGCGGGAUGCUAUGGGGCUUCCCACAACUGAGGUGCCACCAGGAUGGAGUCUCAGAGUGGACCCCAACUGAAUGACCCUCUUGGCCAUACCCCCACAUGUUGGCUGUCAAGGAGGCUCCUAGGGGUCACAAAGUGCUUCCUUCUCCCAUCUCUGGGGCAGCCACAGGAGAGAAGGACCACAACAUCACCAGUGCCUACAGCCAGCCAGCUGUCAAAUGCUCAGAAAGCCCCUCUGCCAGGGCCAAGUGAGGUUGUCCAGGCAUCA